This 106-nucleotide small nucleolar RNA is filed under the name Ricinus communis (castor bean). RNAcentral describes it as "Plant small nucleolar RNA R71". It matches the Rfam family "Plant small nucleolar RNA R71". Rfam says of the family: R71 is a member of the C/D box family of snoRNAs containing the C (UGAUGA) and D (CUGA) box motifs. Multiple nearly identical copies of this snoRNA have been identified in Arabidopsis, and it is thought to function as a 2'-O-ribose methylation guide for 18S ribosomal RNA. The record is from Rfam by way of RNAcentral. Lineage: Eukaryota; Viridiplantae; Streptophyta; Magnoliopsida; Malpighiales; Euphorbiaceae.
AACUAUAAUGUGGACAACUCUUCAGCAAAUCCUUGAACCGUUCCCAACAAUAAUAUAAAGUUUCAUUCUCUUGCUGAAGAAAUCCUGCUAUGUCAUUCCUCAACUU